Molecule: long non-coding RNA, 3513 nt
Organism: Neopsephotus bourkii (Bourke's parrot)
Lineage: Eukaryota; Metazoa; Chordata; Aves; Psittaciformes; Psittacidae
Exons: 2
Source: RefSeq, a predicted model, not a curated record
AGUGAAGAGAAAUAGGCACUGAUUUAUGGAAUUGGGUAUUUUUUGGUAAGUCUUAGUUGUGUUUCUAUCUGAUCAUUAGAUACUUUCACAACACAGGAGCUGGCUGCUUUCUUGCUACAGGAGAGCAACUGGGGAGUAUCUCUGCUUCAGGUAUCUGCUUUUGGUGUUAGUAGUUUCCUGUACCUUGUGCUUGUUUAUUUUAUGUAUUAAUGUAGUUGCAGCUUGGAUCACCUGAUCCAGAUAUAGUAUAAAUUGUUCUUUUCCACACACCCCAUUAGGCGUGUUCGGGUGGUGUAUGCGGACUUGUUAAUGCACAAUAAGCGUAUGCUUCAGCUUGCAUCAUAGUGACGUGCAGAAGACCUCUUAAGUGAGAUGAGUUUCGAGAAUCUGUUCUACAAAGCCAGGUGAUCAUAACACAAAUAGUAAUCUGGUAAGUAUUUAGCCUCAGAGUCUGCUUCUGUCCAUUACUUCUUUAAACCCAAGUUUUCCAAGUACAGAAGCUUUGGGGCUCUGCUCGAUUUUCCACUGCUGCCAAGUUCAUACCCCACAAACAGGAAAUAAAACUGUCUAUCACAGAGGUAAGGUCUUCUAACAGCCCAACCCCCAAAAUAGUGAAUUGGGCAGAACUGGUCAAUGAGAGCACCUGAUUUAAGGUGCACUUUGUCAUGAAGAUCCUAACCCUAAAUUCCAGAUGGUUAGUCACACAGCUGCUCCCCUCCCUUGCAAAAAAAAGCUGGGAAGUCUAGGGACAGUUCUCAGCAAAGUUAGAAGUGUAGAUACACAAAACCCCCAAACCUGGUAUCCUUAUUAGCCUGUCGUGUUUCAGCCUGGCCAUUAAAUGCUGUUGUAUGUAAUGACAGCAAGUAUGGCUCUGUCAUGCCAUCAAAGAAAUGAAGAAAUUAAUACUAGCUUUAUUUAAGCAUAGUUUAAGUGGACAACCCAAAUAUUUAAAAUAAUUUUAGAAAUAACAUUCCAGCUUACAUACUUGUCUAUCUGCUUAAUGCUGACAGUACACAAACAAUUCAUUUCUUCCACAAAAAAAAAAGCUUUUGAGCUAAAUGAUGAAUGGGCGGAAGCCACGACUGAGUUGUUUGUGUGUGUCUGUGGAGAAGUUAAAUUGGCAGGAUUGGCUUCCUUCUUCCUAAGCAGCGCAAUGGUAGCUCUUAGCCAAGGAGCUGUAAUGUAUUUUGGAAAAAUGAAACCUUUAAACACAUCGCUGGCCAUACAGGCUGACCAAAAUUCCUUCAGUGUUAUCCCGUUUUGACUGACAGCAUUUUGGCAAACUGUGUGUCUGGGCCCGUGUCUAUGGGUAACUGCGGCCUUGCUUUCCUAAUCCAGUUAUCAAUAAAAGCUGCUGUGGCAGCAAUAUGUAGGGAGUAGGUAGAGCUAAACCAUUAGGAAAGCUAAUAGCUGUAUCUGGGGACAGGUUUUUAGCAGGAGAGGAAGAAUGGGGUGCUAAGAUGGCUCUAGGGAUCUCCCCUCUAUACCCCGUGCUAGCAGCUUCUGUUACAGCGUGUGUGUACACGCAGCGUCCAGCUCGUGUGCUGACAUCCAGCCCUUCUCAUCGCAGCUGCAGGCAGCCAUAGUCCUGAGCUCAUCUAUGAGGGCUUGUCUACACACAUCUGCUCAGAAGUUAUUCUGGAAUAACCACGUUUAAGUGUGUGCCUAUGUUUGUAUGUGUGUGUGUGCCUUUAUAUUUUUCAAUAUGCAUAAACUGUUUCAGCAUAACUCAAACAAAAGCAAUGCUUUGGAGUAAGAAGUUCUGUGCUCUGAGACUUAGUUGGGACUAGCCAGAGCAUUUUGAAUGCCUGUUGUACUCUCAUCUGCAUCAGCUGUCACGUCUAAAUGAGCCCUUGGAAGAUAAUUACAAACUUUCACUGGGACGAGUCCACUUAAGCUAUGGAUAAGCAAGGUUAGCUUAAACUUGUUUUCUUAACGAGCAAGAACAGUUUGAUCCACUGUUCAGAACAAACCUUACUCUAUAGAAGUUAAGUCUUUGAAUACAUCAGUAAUUAAUGGGCAGGAGGAAGUGUGAUUAGGAUGUUAGGUUUUCCUGCCACACUCAGAGCCAGGAAUGUUAACCUUUUCAGCUGUUUUAGAAAGAAGCUCCUGGCUAGUUAAACUUCUGCAUGUAAGGUAAGUAGUUUCAUGUCAACAGCAGGAUUGGAGGAGAGGUUGGAAUUAAGGUCUCCUAAAUAUUUCCAAAUCAAGCUAGUGCCAGUGCUCUUUGUUUUAUGGGUAUCUGCACAGAGGUUUCAUCAGCAGUUCUUGUCUUCUUACUCCUACUAGUUCAACCUCACUUCUGAUAGCAACAGUGGGAGCCCUAAUGCAGAGACGGCUCUGAGGGACCAGUGUUUCCUCAAGGCCUCUGCUUUCCCAGGGCUUGCCUGUGAACUGCAGUGCUUGAAAUGUUGAGGACUGCCAGCUUCUUGGCCAGCAAGUGCUCACAGUGGUGGGAAAUAAGCAUGAGGCAGAUGAGACCAAGGCUUCCAGUGGAGGGCUCACAAAGUAGAACAGUCCAGCAAAAACACUGAUGCAUGGAUUUUCUCAUCUCUCACUCAUAUCCACUGUCCAAACAACCUGAUAAGAAAUGCCAGCUUUUCCCGGCUUGCAGUGACUCAAAAUAAAAGUGAAUUCAACAAGUGCUCUCAGUAUUUUAUUUCUGUACUUACAGAAGUGACCACUUCUCUGGUGGUUUAACUAACAAUUUCUACAUUUAAAAAUCACGUGUGACUCCUAUAGUACAUCCUCUGUUGCCAUGUGCACUUUGCAGGUCCCAUGGCUAAACUGGACUGAACUACUGCUUGAGCAACCUGGAUUUUCAGAACCACCACAGUAUUCCUCAGAAAUUCCCAGUUUACCCCUGUGACAUCUUUAUUUCAUGUAGCAAACUAGAAUAAAUGAAGCAAUUAGAAGAUUUGUGAUUGUCCUUACUGGAGGGGGGAACAAGCUAAGCUCUCUGCAAUAAUGCCAGGUCCAUGAAGAGGUUAUAAGCUUUGGGAAUAAGUUUUUAAAAAUAAUUCAAACUGUAUUUUAAUGUGGCGACCUUAUUUAUAGACCAGGCAAUUCUGAGCCACAGCUGUUGGCGAGAUGGUGUUUUCUUAAGGAAACAGUUUAUUUCUCCUUUACUGAAAGAGAUCAGUAGUAACUUUCACCAAGCUACUGUCCAACUUGGGUUACAGCUGGGAUGGGACAGGGACUUGAAGAAAGUUGUGUCCAGGUUCUCCAUUCCUGGAAAAGAUGCAAGAUUUUAGCUGAAAUCAGCAAGGAUGAUAGACUUGGAGGUGAGAGUUCCCAGAGUCUCCAACAAGCAGCUUUGAACUUUCUGUGGCUUUUUUGGUAUGAUAAAUAUUUGCAGUCCCCUGUGAAGGUUCUCCUCUGAAGAUCAUCUAAUAGGAGUGGUCAGGUCAGCCAAGGUAGCCCCUUUUUAUUGAAGGGGCAAAACUGCACAUGAAAUUCCACAACCAUUGAGCUUGUGAGACCCAAGUUUCUUGUUUUCUCAAAAAAACCAAA